This 481-nucleotide ribosomal RNA is filed under the name Pleurotus tuber-regium. RNAcentral's name for it is "partial small subunit ribosomal RNA". It matches the Rfam family "Bacterial small subunit ribosomal RNA", at positions 401 to 888 of the family's 1533-position model. The record is from RNAcentral. Lineage: Eukaryota; Fungi; Basidiomycota; Agaricomycetes; Agaricales; Pleurotaceae.
CACAUGACUCAUUCUUAUAGGUGGUGAAUGUGAUAAGGUGUAGGGAAAAAAAUGAUAUUACCUCACUAAAAGUGUUGUCCAAAUCUGGUGCCAGAAGACUCGGUAAGGCCAGAAACGCAAACGUUAGUCAUCCUAAUCAGGCGUAAAGGGUAUGUAGGCAGCUUUAAAUUUUUUUAUUUUUAAUAAUAGCUCUCUUUUUAAUUAAAUAGUAAAAAUAAAAUAAAUUAAAGCUAGAAUCAAAUAGAGGAAAAACCAAAUAAUACUUAGAGUAGGGAUGAUAUCCAUAGAUACUAAGGGGAAUACUAAGGGCGAAAGCUUUUUUUCUACUAAUGAUUGACGCUGAGAAACGAAGGUGAGAAUAGGAAAUAGGAUUAGAUACCCAGAUACCUCUCACUGUCAACGAUGAAUGGUGGUUGCUAGUUUUAAUAAAAACUGGUGACGAUGUUAACACGAUAACCAUUCCGCCUUGCGAGUACGGUUG